Molecule: ribosomal RNA, 465 nt
Filed under: uncultured bacterium
Lineage: Bacteria
Description: partial 16S ribosomal RNA
Rfam family: Bacterial small subunit ribosomal RNA
Source: RNAcentral
CUACGGGCUGCUCCAGUGGGGAAUAUUGGUCAAUGGGGGAAACCCUGAUCCAGCAAUGCCGCGUGUGUGAAGAAGGCCUGCGGGUUGUAAAGCACUUUCGGUUGGGAGGACUGCUUCUAGCACUAAUAUUGUUGGAAGUUGACGUUACCUUCAGAAGAAGCACCGGCUAACUCCGUGCCAGCAGCCGCGGUAAUACGGAGGGUGCACGCGUUAAUCGGAAUUACUGGGCGUAAAGCGCGCGUAGGCGGCUAGAUCAGUCGGGUGUGAAAGCCCCGGGCUUAACCUGGGAACUGCAUCCGAUACUGUCUAGCUUGAGUACAGGAGAGGAGAGUGGAAUUCCACAUGUAGCGGUGAAAUGCGUAGAUAUGUGGAGGAACACCAAUGGCGAAGGCAGCUCUCUGGCCUGAUACUGACGCUGAGGUGCGAAAGCGUGGGGAGCAAACAGGAUUAGAUACCCUCGUAGUC